CGCGCAGGCGGCUGGUCAAGUCCGAUGUGAAAUCUCCCGGCUCAACUGGGAAACUGCAUCGGAAACUGACCGGCUUGAAGGUGGGAGAGGGUAGUGGAAUUCCCGGUGUAGUGGUGAAAUGCGUAGAUAUCGGGAGGAACACCAGUGGCGAAGGCGACUACCUGGCCCAUUCUUGACGCUGAGGCGCGAAAGCUAGGGGAGCGAACG
RNAcentral lists this ribosomal RNA (207 nucleotides) under uncultured bacterium. Its description in RNAcentral is "partial 16S ribosomal RNA". It matches the Rfam family "Bacterial small subunit ribosomal RNA", at positions 568 to 774 of the family's 1533-position model. The record is from RNAcentral.